RNAcentral lists this ribosomal RNA (253 nucleotides) under uncultured bacterium. RNAcentral describes it as "partial 16S ribosomal RNA". It matches the Rfam family "Bacterial small subunit ribosomal RNA", at positions 524 to 776 of the family's 1533-position model. The record is from RNAcentral.
UACGUAGGGGGCAAGCGUUGUCCGGAAUUAUUGGACGUAAAGAGCGCGUAGGCGGUCCGAUAAGUCGGCUGUGAAAGUCAGGGGCUCAACCCUUGGAAGCCGGCCGAUACUGUCGGACUAGAGUCCGGAAGAGGCGAGUGGAAUUCCCGGUGUAGCGGUGAAAUGCGCAGAUAUCGGGAGGAACACCAAUGGCGAAGGCAGCUCGCUGGGACGGUACUGACGCUGAGGCGCGAAAGCGUGGGGAGCAAACAGG